Molecule: long non-coding RNA, 446 nt
Filed under: Capsicum annuum
Lineage: Eukaryota; Viridiplantae; Streptophyta; Magnoliopsida; Solanales; Solanaceae
Description: long non-coding RNA (CANN_LNC003536)
Source: RNAcentral
AUUAAUAUUAUAUUUAUUUUUUUUAAACAACGUACCUACCAUGGAUUAAAAAAUUAUAGGCAAUGCUCAUCAAAUUUCUCUGAAUAAAUUAGAAAGGUAUGUAUUUUAUAGUAAUUAUAUAUUUUUCUAAUUAACACAAUAUUUAUCGUUUGUCACAGAUGUAUCUAAGGAAGCUGAAAUUUUCACAAAUUCUAUGCAUGUAAUCUCUCCAAAAUGUAAAAUAAAUACUUGAGAAAUCAGCAAGUAUAAUUGAGAGUUGAAAUAUACAAAGAAAAUUAAUCAGAUCAUUUGUGUAAAGAAUGAAUACAAAUAUUUUUGUGUGUUCAAAUGUAAUAUAUUUAUCUAUCACAUUUACAUAUCCACUUUAUUCUAAGAAGGUUAUAUAAAAAAGAUUUAUAUGCACUUAAAUAUUGCAAUUGAUUUAUUCUUUUCAUGAUUUUACUUGC